GAUAAACGCUGGCGGCGUGCCUAAUACAUGCAAGUCGAGCGAACGGACGAGAAGCUUGCUUCUCUGAUGUUAGCGGCGGACGGGUGAGUAACACGUGGAUAACCUACCUAUAAGACUGGGAUAACUUCGGGAAACCGGAGCUAAUACCGGAUAAUAUUUUGAACCGCAUGGUUCAAAAGUGAAAGACGGUCUUGCUGUCACUUAUAGAUGGAUCCGCGCUGCAUUAGCUAGUUGGUAAGGUAACGGCUUACCAAGGCAACGAUGCAUAGCCGACCUGAGAGGGUGAUCGGCCACACUGGAACUGAGACACGGUCCAGACUCCUACGGGAGGCAGCAGUAGGGAAUCUUCCGCAAUGGGCGAAAGCCUGACGGAGCAACGCCGCGUGAGUGAUGAAGGUCUUCGGAUCGUAAAACUCUGUUAUUAGGGAAGAACAUAUGUGUAAGUAACUGUGCGCAUCUUGACGGUACCUAAUCAGAAAGCCACGGCUAACUACGUGCCAGCAGCCGCGGUAAUACGUAGGUGGCAAGCGUUAUCCGGAAUUAUUGGGCGUAAAGCGCGCGUAGCGGUUUUUUAAGUCUGAUGUGAAAGCCCACGGCUCAACCGUGGAGGGUCAUUGGAAACUGGAAAACUUGAGUGCAGAAGAGGAAAGUGGAAUUCCAUGUGUAGCGGUGAAAUGCGCAGAGAUAUGGAGGAACACCAGUGGCGAAGGCGACUUUCUGGUCUGUAACUGACGCUGAUGUGCGAAAGCGUGGGGAUCAAACAGGAUUAGAUACCCUGGUAGUCCACGCCGUAAACGAUGAGUGCUAAGUGUUAGGGGGUUUCCGCCCCUUAGUGCUGCAGCUAACGCAUUAAGCACUCCGCCUGGGGAGUACGACCGCAAGGUUGAAACUCAAAGGAAUUGACGGGGACCCGCACAAGCGGUGGAGCAUGUGGUUUAAUUCGAAGCAACGCGAAGAACCUUACCAAAUCUUGACAUCCUUUGACAACUCUAGAGAUAGAGCCUUCCCCUUCGGGGGACAAAGUGACAGGUGGUGCAUGGUUGUCGUCAGCUCGUGUCGUGAGAUGUUGGGUUAAGCCCCGCAACGAGCGCAACCCUUAAGCUUAGUUGCCAUCAUUAAGUUGGGCACUCUAAGUUGACUGCCGGUGACAAACCGGAGGAAGGUGGGGAUGACGUCAAAUCAUCAUGCCCCUUAUGAUUUGGGCUACACACGUGCUACAAUGGACAAUACAAAGGGCAGCGAAACCGCGAGGUCAAGCAAAUCCCAUAAAGUUGUUCUCAGUUCGGAUUGUAGUCUGCAACUCGACUACAUGAAGCUGGAAUCGCUAGUAAUCGUAGAUCAGCAUGCUACGGUGAAUACGUCCCCGGGUCU
This 1371-nucleotide ribosomal RNA is filed under the name uncultured bacterium. RNAcentral's name for it is "bacterial SSU rRNA". It matches the Rfam family "Bacterial small subunit ribosomal RNA", at positions 28 to 1381 of the family's 1533-position model. The record is from RNAcentral.